This 312-nucleotide ribosomal RNA is filed under the name uncultured bacterium. Its description in RNAcentral is "bacterial SSU rRNA". It matches the Rfam family "Bacterial small subunit ribosomal RNA", at positions 1040 to 1358 of the family's 1533-position model. The record is from RNAcentral.
GUUAUGGCUGUCGUCAGCUCGUGUUGUGAAAUGUUGGGUUAAGUCCCGUAACGAGCGCAACCCUUGUCCUUAGUUACCAUCAUUAAGUUGGGGACUCUAAGGAGACUGCCGGUGACAAACCGGAGGAAGGCGGGGACGACGUCAAGUCAUCAUGGCCCUUACGAGUAGGGCUACACACGUGCUACAAUGGCCAGUACAGAGGGUUGCAAUACCGCGAGGUGGAGCUAAUCCCACAAAGCUGGUCGUAGUCCGGAUUGGAGUCUGCAUCGACUCCAUGAAGUCGGAAUCGCUGGAAUCGUGAAUCAGAAUGUC